GACUGGGGGAUGGCUCGGCUCGAGAGCUGAUGAAGGUCGUGACAAGCUGCGAUAAGCUACGGGGAGGCGCAUGAAUGCCUUGGAUCCGUAGAUGGCCGAAUAGGACCUCCUGGCUUUACGAAGUCAUUCCCGUAUUAAUUUACUGGAAAGGGAACCGCCCGAAUUGAAGCAUCUUAGUAGGGCGAGGAACAGAAAUCAAACGAGAUUCCGUUAGUAGUGGCGAAUGAACACGGAAUAGAACAAACCGAAUCCGCUUGGGAAACCUUGUGGAGAUGUGGGGUAUGGAUCACCUAUCGUCUAAAUUCACGAAGCAGAAGUCGAUCUGGAACGACGUACCAUAGAGGGUGAAAGUCCCGUAUGUGUAGUGAACAUGACCAAGUGGUGAAUCCUGAGUAGCGUGCGUUGGAUAUCGCGCGUGAAUAUGGGAGGCAUAAACUUCCAAUUCUAAAUACAACUCGAGACCGAUAGUAGACCAGUAGUGUGAACGAAAGUUGAAAAGUAUCCUGAGAGGGAUGUGAAAAGAACCUGAAACCAGUUAGGGACAGACUGAAUAGGCGUGAAAGCGAAGAUAUGAGCAGCGUCUAUUCGUGCGUUUCGAAUAAUGCCCCUGGGAGUCUUGAUCAUUGGCGAGGUUAAGCAGUUGAUCUGCGAAGCCGUAGGGAAACCGACAAGUCCGCAGCCCGUAAGGGUGAGGGACGAGAUGUGCUCGUCUGAAGUCAAUGGUGGAGGACCUGAAGCCUAUCGAUCUAUGCCUGGCCAGAUUGAAGCCCGAUGAAAGUUGGGUGGAGGAUCGAACCGUUGCUGAUGUGCAAAUCGCUCGGACGAGUUGGGUAUAGGGGUGAAAGUCCAAUCGAGAUGGGCAAUAGCAGGUUCCGCGCGAGACUACUCGUAGGUAGACCUCUGUGGAGAUAGAUUGUGCUGUAGAGCACUGAUUGGGUAUUUAGGGGGAGCGAUCCCUCGGUAUGCUGUCAAACUCCGAAGGUGCAAUCAUUGUAGAAACAGGGAGUGAGUCGCGGUGGGUAAGCUACCGUGACGAAAGGAGAACAGUCCAGCCUAGCGUUAAGGUCCCAAAGUACUAACUAAGUGUCAAAGACAAACCGUGUCCGUGGUCGAAAACAACCAGAAGGUGGGCUUAGAAGCAGCCAUCCUUGAAAGA
RNAcentral lists this ribosomal RNA (1156 nucleotides) under Candidatus Poseidoniales archaeon. Its description in RNAcentral is "partial 23S ribosomal RNA". It matches the Rfam family "Archaeal large subunit ribosomal RNA", at positions 20 to 1215 of the family's 2987-position model. The record is from RNAcentral. Lineage: Archaea; Methanobacteriati; Thermoplasmatota; Candidatus Poseidoniia; Candidatus Poseidoniales.